UGAGUACGAGAUGCUACGGCAUCGAAGCAGUCUAUGUCAUACUUCCAAGAAAAGCUUGCAAUGUCAUAAACAAAUAAUUCCUGUACCAUAACCGACACAGGUGGGUAGGUAGAGUAUACUAAGGGGCGCGAGAUAACUCUCUCUAAGGAACUCGGCAAAAUGACUCCGUAACUUCGGGAGAAGGAGUGCCUUAUUUUUAUAAGGUUGCAAUAACAAGAUCCAAGCAACUGUUUACCAAAAACACAGGUCUCCGCUAAGUCGUAAGACGAUGUAUGGGGGCUGACGCCUGCCCAGUGCCAGAAGGUUAAAGAAGUUGGUUAGCAUUAGCGAAGCUGAUAACUGAAGCCCUGGUGAACGGCGGCCGUAACAAUAACGGUCCUAAGGUAGCGAAAUUCCUUGUCGGGUAAGUUCCGACCCGCACGAAAGGCGUAAUGAUUUGGAUACUGUCUCGGAGAGGGGCUUGGUGAAAUAGACUUGUCUGUGAAGAUGCGGACUACCUGCACCUGGACAGAAAGACCCUAUGAAGCUUUACUGUAACUUGAGAUUGAAAUUGGACUUUAUCUGCGCAGUAUAGGUGGGAGACGUUGAAAAUAUUCUUGCGGGAAUAUUGGAGUCAUCAGUGAGAUACCACUCUUAUAAUGUUAGAUUUCUAACUUUGUAUCAUUAUCUGGUCAAAGAACAGUUUCAGGCGGGCAGUUUGACUGGGGCGGUCGCCUCCCAAACGGUAACGGAGGCGCACAAAGGUUUCCUCUGAACGUGUAGAAAUCGUAUCUAGAGUGUAAAGGCAUAAGGAAGCUUGACUGUGAGACCUACAAGUCGAGCAGGGACGAAAGUCGGUCUUAGUGAUCUGACGGUGCUGAGUGGAAAGGCCGUCACUCAACGGAUAAAAGUUACUCUAAGGAUAACAGGCUGAUCUCCCCCAAGAGUUCACAUCGACGGGGAGGUUUGGCACCUCGAUGUCGGCUCAUCGCAUCCUGGGGCGGUAGUACGUCCCAAGGGUUGGGCUGUUCGCCCAUGAAAGCGGUACGCGAGCUGGGUUCAGAACGUCGUGAGACAGUUCGGUCCAUAUCCGGUGUAGGCGUUAGAAUAUUGAGAGGAGCCUUCUUUAGUACGAGAGGACCGAGAAGGACAUACCUCUGGUGUACCAGUUAUCGUGCCAACGGUAAACGCUGGGUAGCCAUGUAUGGAGAGGAUAACCGCUGAAAGCAUCUAAGUGGGAAGCCCACCUCAAGAUAAGUAUUCUCA
RNAcentral lists this ribosomal RNA (1245 nucleotides) under metagenome. RNAcentral describes it as "bacterial LSU rRNA". It matches the Rfam family "Bacterial large subunit ribosomal RNA", at positions 1564 to 2816 of the family's 2925-position model. The record is from RNAcentral.